This 465-nucleotide ribosomal RNA is filed under the name uncultured bacterium. RNAcentral's name for it is "partial 16S ribosomal RNA". It matches the Rfam family "Bacterial small subunit ribosomal RNA", at positions 28 to 507 of the family's 1533-position model. The record is from RNAcentral.
GACGAACGCUGGCGGCGUGCUUAACACAUGCAAGUCGAACGGAAAGGCCCUGCUUGCAGGGUACUCGAGUGGCGAACGGGUGAGUAACACGUGGGUGAUCUGCCCUGCACUUCGGGAUAAGCCUGGGAAACUGGGUCUAAUACCGGAUAGGAGCCAUUUUUAGUGUGAUGGUUGGAAAGUUUUUUCGGUGUAGGAUGAGCUCGCGGCCUAUCAGCUUAUUGGUGGGGUAAUGGCCUACCAAGGCGGCGACGGGUAGCCGGCCUGAGAGGGGGGACGGCCACAUUGGGACUGAGAUACGGCCCAGACUCCUACGGGAGGCAGCAGUGGGGAAUAUUGCACAAUGGGCGCAAGCCUGAUGCAGCGACGCCGCGUGGGGGAUGACGGCCUUCGGGUUGUAAACUCCUUUCGCUAGGGACGAAGCUUUGUGUGACGGUACCUAGAUAAGAAGCACCGGCUAACUACGUG